RNAcentral lists this long non-coding RNA (2171 nucleotides) under Phasianus colchicus (ring-necked pheasant). RNAcentral's name for it is "lncRNA (ENSPCLG00000006148.1)". The record is from RNAcentral. Lineage: Eukaryota; Metazoa; Chordata; Aves; Galliformes; Phasianidae.
GCACAGGAACCGGGCUGGAGCACAUCUGGAGAGCUGGUGGUGCGAGAGCAUUGGUGCCCAAGCUUCUGCAAUUGAGCAGUUGUGAUGGCAGUAAGAGAGCAGCAAUACACUGACAUCAGAGCAUCGCUGGGGCACAGCUGGCAGUACGAGGGCACUGUGCAAGAGGAUUCGCUGAGGACAGCCAGAUGAGCAUCCCCAGAUUGAGGAAGAGCUCUCAGAUCCUGAAAGCUUCCUGUGGAUCGAGGUCUGGUGAUGGCAGAAGAGGAAAUAGGGGCGUUACCUUCUGCAUGAUGGACAGCUUAUGGGACAGGCAUAUUUUGACCUACAGUGCGAUGUUAAUGAGGUUGCAGUUUGGCCCAGAGCCACGUGGAUGCCCUCCCAGCUGGCAUCCCCAGGCAGCACCGUGCUGCCCUUGGUGCCGACUGCCUCCUGGACCCCAAGGACUAUGCCCUGGCUCACAGCUGGGCAGGCUCCCACUCAGAGCUGCUGCACUUGGCAGGCUCACUGGCAGCAGUACUCACCUGCACCUAAGUGAGAACACGAGCCCCAGAUGCCCACUAGACCUGGUUGGCCCUGGCAGGAGACAGGAUGGACAGGAAUGUCAGCCUUUGUCCACAGGGCCUGCCAGGGGUCACCCCUGCUUGGUGCAACACAGGAUCUCAGGCAUUUUCUGUAAAAGCACUCUGCUAUCAUCAGCAUUAACAGCUGGAAGAUGCAAAGUGCUCUGGGAUUGCCACGAAGUGUAGUGAAAGUGUGGGAGAUGAUGAAUCUGUUCUCCAGGAGAGAGACUAUAGAGCUGCUCAUUUACCUUUGUUAGGCAGCAAGCAGAUUGUCUGGGCACAGCCAUGCCGUGGUGAAGAGUUGAAAGGCCCCAGCAGUGCCUGCUGACAGCUCCAGCUCAACAGGGGGUGGAGGAUUUCCCUGCAGCAGCCCCAAACCAUGGAUCCAGAGCAGUGCUUGUGCUGUGAACCCUGGGAUGCACUCGACUCAUGGAAUGAACCUCUGCCGUGCAAUGGUGAGGGCUUGCCAAGGUGUCUCCUGCAACUCAUUAGAAGAGAGGUAUCACAUACUUACUUCUCCCCGUCUGAUCUGUAAGAUGCCACUGCAGUGAUUACAACUUUUUUUCCUGUUUUUUUUUUUUUUUACUCAGAAUGUGUGAACGCACUCAAUUCAAGGUUAAGCUUCCCAUUAAGUCACACAAGUCUGACAAAGAGCUUAAAUGACCACGGAAAGCAAAACAGUCACCUGCCCUAGCCAAAAAACCUGAGGCCGUGCAAAUUCUCCUCCCAGUCCCUGCAGAGCAGCUCCCAGUGGUGCCGGGUUGCUUGGUGUGGGUCUGGUGGCAGCGUGGUGUCCUUGGAGCCCAUCUCAUGCUGCUCCCAUUGCCAUUCCUUGUGAGUGCUGUGCGUGUGCCAGAGGGCUGUGAAUGAGGGCUGCUGUGUGGUGUUCCAUCACAUCCACACAUCUUGGUGUCCCCAUGCUGUGAGCCUGGCCGGUGUGACCUCGGGGCUCCUCCUGAGGCAGCGCUGGUCUAAAAACACUGAUGAAAAGCUGAUUAAUCCUUGUAAGCGAGCAGCGAUAGCUUCUCUCCAGAACUGAAGAGAUUACCACUGAUUUGUCAUCCUGAUUGUUUCAAAGAGAGGUGCAAUUAGUUGCUCUAAUUUAGCUCGCUGAGUGGCAUGACAACUGAGAUGUAAUCAGGAGCUCCGCACACAGCGCAGCCACCGAUGGGUGCAGCUGUGCCCACCACCAUUUUGCACGCUGAGGGUGGGCCCAAAAUGAUGGAGCACUGUGUGCUCGAGCCCCUCCAACUGCAUCAGGCAAAGUGUGAGUGCUCGACUCUGAGAUCAGCAGGGCUUCUUAUGGGACAGGCUUUAAGCCACGGGGUUGUGGCUGAGCACCCUGGGGGAUGCUGAGCACACCUUUGCCAGGUGCAGUAAAAUUAAUACUAGCUAUAGGAGAGGGUGCACUUUGUGCUCAAGGCCCCAUCUGAGACCAGUUGUUGGUUUGGAAGAGGAGCUGAGCUGCAAAGGGAAGCGUGAGGCACCCUGUGGGCUGACACUCCAAGCAGAGGGGAGGGAACGCAGUAGUUGUAUGUCCAUUUCCAGCAGAACAAAAGAAUUCAAAAUGAACAAAAUAAAGACGAUGCUUUAAAAGUAAAAAUGGUCUCU